This 211-nucleotide long non-coding RNA is filed under the name Homo sapiens (human). RNAcentral's name for it is "HSALNT0249512". Lineage: Eukaryota; Metazoa; Chordata; Mammalia; Primates; Hominidae. The record is from RNAcentral.
GAUAUGUUUGGCACUCAAAAUGUAUCUAAUUUUCUACAUUCUGAAGCUGGCAAAUAAAAUAAUAAACCUAUUGAACCUGAAAUAUGUUUUUGGGAAAAAGCAGCAAACUACAUUGGAAUUUGCUGUUUGGUUACUCAGUCUGCCAAAUUUUGGAUGCUCCACCUGUGUCAAAUUUGAACAGCAGAUGGGUCUGCCACUUGAACUUCUGCCA